RNAcentral lists this ribosomal RNA (540 nucleotides) under uncultured bacterium. RNAcentral's name for it is "bacterial SSU rRNA". It matches the Rfam family "Bacterial small subunit ribosomal RNA", at positions 63 to 598 of the family's 1533-position model. The record is from RNAcentral.
CGAACGGCAGCACGGGGGCAACCCUGGUGGCGAGUGGCGAACGGGUGAGUAAUACAUCGGAACGUGUCCUGUAGUGGGGGAUAGCCCGGCGAAAGCCGGAUUAAUACCGCAUACGCUCUACGGAGGAAAGGGGGGGAUCUUAGGACCUCCCGCUACAGGGGCGGCCGAUGGCAGAUUAGCUAGUUGGUGGGGUAAAGGCCUACCAAGGCGACGAUCUGUAGCUGGUCUGAGAGGACGACCAGCCACACUGGGACUGAGACACGGCCCAGACUCCUACGGGAGGCAGCAGUGGGGAAUUUUGGACAAUGGGGGCAACCCUGAUCCAGCAAUGCCGCGUGUGUGAAGAAGGCCUUCGGGUUGUAAAGCACUUUUGUCCGGAAAGAAAACGCCGUGGUUAAUACCCGUGGCGGAUGACGGUACCGGAAGAAUAAGCACCGGCUAACUACGUGCCAGCAGCCGCGGUAAUACGUAGGGUGCAAGCGUUAAUCGGAAUUACUGGGCGUAAAGCGUGCGCAGGCGGUCCGCUAAGACAGAUGUGAA